CCCUGCCCAGCCCGGCCAGCGCUGCCCGGCCCGGCGGCACCGCCGCGCUGCUGGAGCGGAGCCGGGAGUGGUGCGGAGCCGCUGGUGCCUCUCUGCGCGCUGCCGGGCCGUCGUGCGUGCCCUGUCGGGGAGGAGAAGCUUCCCUUCUUCGUUCUAUCUCCUGAAAACCUGCAGCUGACUGACUUCUGCCAUGGCUUUAACUGGUUAAGGUUUUUCCUUUUGUUCUUUGUGGGCAGCUAAACUCGGGUUCCUAUCUGAAGGAAGACUCUAACCUUGGUCCUUAAUCAUGCAGGCAAAUAACUGCUUGGAGAAAGGCACGUCGUUUUGUUCCGUUGUUUUGGGCCCUCAAAGCGCUGAUCUGUGCGCCUUUGAGACUUUUGAAAGUGAUUUCAGAUAGCUGCUGUUGCUCAGCAGAGAACAAAAGCCAUUAUUCCAGGUUCUCCAUCACUUCUCCUUCGUCAGCUUCUGUCCUUCUUGUACUUGAAUACGAACUCAUUGCAGGUCGCCAGAGAUACAGGGGGACUAAAUGCAGAGACCUGGGAGAUCUUUGUGCCCUGGCUCCAGCACGGCGUCCCUCUGUGCCUCUCGUCUGUACUACAGGAGACUGGAAACAAACCUUUCCCUCGCUCGUGAUGCUUAGGCUAUGAGAGGCUUCGUGGCCUUCUUGCUGAGCACUUCUCGCUGCCAAAUCUGAAUCACAUGUGCUCAGCUGGACAUACACAUGCUCGGCUCCCCACUGUAACUUCGGUAACAUGCACUUGCCUUAAUUUAAUUAAUCGGGCAAAUAAAUUAAAUGCUAGAGGACUUUCUCCAAAUAUCUCAACUGGGACCGCGCAGUGGGGGGGAGAUGGGAGGUUAUGGUUCCUCUGGCCCUCACAGCUCCUCCUGGUAGCACUGCAGACUGGGAGGAAGAUGCUCUGAGCAGUGUAACUAAUUUCUGAGCUGUUAAACCUCACCACAGCCUGGAAUAUUACCAUGUACCUUUCCCUUUUACACUGGAGACACAAACAACAGCAACCAAAACCAACAAAAGUGUCAGAGGGGUGAUGUGAUGCUCUCUCAAGCAAAUUGUUGACAAGGUAAAACACCUUCCUCCUUCGUAGCAUCAAAUCAAGACAGAAAGCUGCUGCAGGCUGUGGCAGCACCGUACUGCCACAAGGAGCUCUGCCAACAGCAAGAGGAAUCGUGCUGCGAGUGCUCCUCAGAGCACAGUGCUCAGAGCCCAGCGCUCCCCACUGCACCCCAAAGCUCUGCGCUGACUCUUACAGUUCCUAAUGACGCUCAGACAGCAGUAUCAAUCCAUACACGGAUCUGAAAGAGAGACUAAAGCCCCCACAAACAUUGAUGUUGAAUGCUGAGCAAAAAAUUUACCCUUAUAAAGAUAACUCUUUUGUUUUUAAACACACACAUGGCAGGGUCUGAACCACCCAGACAACAGAAAGCGGGGCGGUAUGUCCGGGAUCAGCUUUGCUCUACAAAGAGGUGCAGCUCUUACACGGUUUGCGAUUAAAUAAAACCUAAAAUGUUGUUAUGAUGGGAUAUGUCGUUUCGGUACAAGAAUGAAACAUUCCAUAUUUCAUCAGUGCAACUUUUUUAAAAACAGUAUAGCCUUGUAAACUGUAAAUGUAUUUAAAUGCAUAUAUUCUGCAAGAAAUCUACCAAAGUUGGCUGUCACGUCUGGUGCCUUUAUUUGUUUCAGUUAUUUUAUUUGUAUUUUAAAUGCUACUGUCCAGCUGUUUCUGUGACCCAGCCCCUACCUACGGCCAUGUUACACCACACUGAGCCCUCUGCUGUCGAGGAAGAAGAGUCAGUGGAUAUUAGCACAAAUCCUGCAGACUUCACUUUAAAUUGGUGUGAUCUGCUAAAAUAAUGGGAUUUGUCUCAAAUGGAAGGAUUACAAAGAAGCCACACCCCAGCAGAUAGGCCUGCAUGGGGCUUUACUUCUGAGCCUUCAGAAGUGCUGCCGGAUUUGGGCACUUAAGGGACAGCGGUCUUUCUGCCUGUUCCCUGCAAGUAUUUACCAUCCAAUCAGAACUGGUAUGUUGGGGGGUGGGAGGGACAAAAGCACGUCCCUUCAAAUGGAAUCUUUUUUAGCAAGCCAAAAUUCUUGAUAGCUUCAUGUCACAGCAGGGCUGGGUCCACUGAUAACCACAUCUGAAACAACUCCACAAUCCGACCUCAUGGAAGAAGCCAGUGCUGUGUAUGUACUAGUAGACAAACCCUCAUCCUAUCCAAAACGUAGCUCAUUGCUGAUGUGUCAAAAUUCACUGAGGUCACAGGGUAGCGUCCAACCACGUCUAUUCAAAAAGAAUAAUUGCAUUUUAUCUCAUCCUUCAGUAUACUUAUGUAUUGCAUUACUUCACAAGAAAAAAAAAUGAACAACCACCCAUGUGAACGUUGCUACCGACAUUGCUGGCUUCAGGGUACAAAUUGGUUUCUUCUGCACUGUUUUGUUUCUGAGAGCAAAGAUCUAGUCCUGAAGCUUAGGAAUUAAAAGCACUCAGGAGCAGGCCUGAACCUCAUCCCAGUGGAAAUAAAGAUCUAUAGCACUUGUUUUUAUUUUUAUGUGAAAUUAUAAAUACAAAAUAAAAACAUCUAAACCAAUCCCCAGAAGGAGUCGCUCUUUAUGACAGGGCAGGGGAUGGUUUGGGCUCAGUAACGGGGAGCGGUGUCGGUGUCACAGAGCAGCCUUCCCCUGGGCUGCUGGGGGGAGAGCUGGCUCAGCCCUGGGCAAGUGGGAACUUCCCUUGUGCCACAGUCAGCACCUCAGCCCUCCACUGGAGCUCAGACAAAAGAGCAAGUGGCAGCGGUUGGUCUUGUGAUGUGAGCACAUUAGGAAGUGGACUGAGUCCCAACUACUUGGAGAACAGCUCUAAACAUGAAGCCCUUUAAGCUUUCAAUUCCUACAAGUUUAAAAUAGAAGGGGAAAAAAAAGCCCACUGCUGCUUGGACUGGACCCAGCCUGACCCGAUACCCUAAAUCCUUUCCACCAUCCAUUUUUGUCAAGAAGUGCAUUCAAGCUGGGGAAAAAGCAUUUUCACAGUUGCAUCAGAACAGAACCUGUGAAAAAAAUGUCUGUUAAAUGAAACUGCAGAGGCUAAUUACUAGUGGGGGAAUUUACAUGACUGCCAGGGAGGUCUUUCAAUAUUUUAUAGAUUUUUUUGGCAAGAUUUUUAUGCUUUCUUGAACUAACUGUUGCUUUAAGAAUGAAGAAAAAGUAUCUUCAAAGCCUUCGUUUUGCAGCAUUCUUGCCAGCUUGGUUGAGAUUAACAAAAGCUCCUUGCCACCCCCCUACUGCUAUGCACACGCUGGGCUGGAAGAAGGGUGUCUGCUGGCCUGGCCUCUGUCCUGCUAAACGAACAUUUCACAGUUAUGAAUUUGAAAGUAACCUCAGUUCAUAGCCUGCAAAUCUGGUUAGAUCCUGUCUGUGUAAAGAGGGGAAAUGCACCAGGCAGAGGGAAAAGGAAGCUCCAUCAGUCACGUUUGCUGCAGGAUGUUUAAGGAAGAGUUUCCUUUUCCUGCACAGGGAUGUUUGUUGGGCAUCUGCUCUUUGGAACAGGAAUGAAACAUUUUACUCGAGUGAGAAACCACCGUAACUUCAAAUUUGCAUUUGUAAACCUAUUCCUCCGUCAAAUACUGCAUGAGGUAUUUACUCUUAUUCCUUGGCCG
Gallus gallus (chicken) is the source of this 3669-nucleotide long non-coding RNA. The record is from Ensembl. NCBI's taxonomy places the organism in Eukaryota, Metazoa, Chordata, Aves, Galliformes, Phasianidae.